UCUUAUACUCUGUGUUAAAACUCUCUCACUUCUUCUUUUGGCAGAGGAGUCUGAGUGCUUCAUUUGCAGAGAUGUUGGCCUGGUGGGUGAAGAUCCUCUGCGAACCUUCUGCGACUGUAAGAACCUUGUAGCUCACCACAGCUGUCUGCUAACCUGGAUCAAAAAGGGUCUUGGACGAGAGGAGAGACUCAGAUGUAGCGUUUGCAAUGCUGAGUAUCAGCUGCAGAGAUGUGCACCCUGGCGUACUGUGGCCUCUCAGUGGCAGACCUGGCCCAUUCUAGCCAUCGCUGUUCUCCUGCUGGCUCUGGUGCCAUACGUGGUGUACCGGAUGAUGACUGCUUUUGACAAUCCCCCUCCACACUCGCUCUUCAAGUCAGCUGCAAUCGGCUUUGGCCUGCUUAGUGAAGCCCUGUUGCUCAAGUGCUUGUGCAGUUACUUCAGCCACCGACUUCAGCGAGCAGAGCAAAGCUCCUUUAGCCUCCAGCCUCGCAGAUCUGAGGAGCAUGGAGUCCAAACUAAUCUGAGGCAGUGUACCACGGCAGGGGUCAAAGGUUAGGACUCACAGACAUUGGUGGGAGAGAGGAACCACUUGGUUGUAAGCUCUGAGAGGACAGGAUGAGGGCUUCCACCGUUAAAUAUGACCAGAGGGAAUAAGACCUGUGGUGCAAGAAGAAGAAGAAAAAAGAAAAACACUGACUUAUUUAAACUUCUGGAGAGAUCCUGCUGCCGACACGGGCAGAGUUAGAACAGCCGAAACCCAGUGUAAGUGGCAGAAAAACUGAAAUGGAUGAUGCCGCCACUCUGUUUUCCUGGGUGGAAAAUAAAUGGAUGCUCUAUUGCUCUUGGAUGGAUUUUGAUGUUAUGAUCAAAACAGUGUUUAAUCAGUACAGUUGAGUUGGUACAAAGCUUUAUCAAUUUACUUUAUCAAUAUCUUAAAGCCUUAUAAUAGUUUUAUAUAAUUCAUUGCACAUGUCACUUUUUAAUUGUCUAACUUUUUCAAAGGAUUUUUGGAACUUCUGAGCCCAUUUGUCAAGGACUUUCAGAAACAGUGCUGAUACAAUCCAAAUAUAAAAGUAUUUUUUACUCAGUAAACAUUUUUACACUUAAGUAAACAUUUAAGUAAUACAUUUCUUGUUUUUCUUUUGGAUUGCUUUUGUAUUUCUUCAACCAGGGUAUAGGUAUGAAAAUAUCUUUUUUUUCCACCUUUCCAGAAACAAACUUAAUGAUCCAGCCAAAUUCCUUAUAAAAAUGUAAUUGCCAGUGCAAGCAGUGCUUAUGUUCUCAUAAUAAAUUUUGUUUUUCUAUGACAUUUUAACGAAAUGUGUAAAGAUUUUUUUUCUUCCAUCUGUUGUCUGUUCUUCAUCUUUGCACUCAGA
Molecule: long non-coding RNA, 1376 nt
Organism: Sinocyclocheilus anshuiensis
Lineage: Eukaryota; Metazoa; Chordata; Actinopteri; Cypriniformes; Cyprinidae
Source: Ensembl